CCUCGCCCUCCGUCCUCCCGGAACUCACCGGCGCCGCAGCAGAUGGGCUGAAUCGCCCUCGGGCCUUCUUCUUCCUCUCUACCGGUUACUACACCAUCUCGUCUGCUAUGAAGGAGAGAUCGUGUUGGAAGGAAAGAAUGUGGGCGCUGCUGGCGACUGUCGUGGGGCUGCUUUUGGAGUUCGCUUGAAAUGAUGAUGGUGGAUAAUGAUCAAUAUUUUUUGGUUAAUUAAUUUGAUUUUUCAUUUAGUUUGUCUAUUUAGAUGGUCAAUCUCUUCUGCAAAAGAGGAAAAAGCAGCCACACUCAUUGAUUGGUAGAAAUUAGAAUUGAGAACACGACAAUUGGGAAGUUAUCGGUUAGAUUAGGGAGACUUUUAACUUGAAUAUGUUGAUUCCGCAUUCAUUUGU
This is a long non-coding RNA of Ananas comosus (pineapple), 406 nucleotides long. RefSeq lists it as uncharacterized. The transcript has 2 exons. The record is from RefSeq and is a predicted model, not a curated record. NCBI's taxonomy places the organism in Eukaryota, Viridiplantae, Streptophyta, Magnoliopsida, Poales, Bromeliaceae.